CCCCCUCCCCAAAAUCCCUCACUUCAUCUCUCACUAUUUCUCUAACCCCUCACUAGCUUUGCCACAGAUCACCUGCCGAAAAUCGCCCACGUCGAUACCGAUGGUCCAAACACCGCCAAAUUAAUACCUGAUGAUCCCCAGCCUCCCCUCUACACUCUCCUACCAUCAGCUUCCCCAAAAUACCCACCAAAUUCCACAAAUUUUAGAUCUAAAAUCCGGAAUCCCAAAAC
RNAcentral lists this long non-coding RNA (230 nucleotides) under Nicotiana benthamiana. RNAcentral's name for it is "long non-coding RNA (NBEN_LNC018578)". The record is from RNAcentral. Lineage: Eukaryota; Viridiplantae; Streptophyta; Magnoliopsida; Solanales; Solanaceae.